AGAGUUUGAUCCUGGCUCAGAUUGAACGCUGGCGGAAUGCUUUACACAUGCAAGUCGAACGGCAGCACGGGGCAACCUGGUGGCGAGUGGCGAACGGGUGAGUAAUAUAUCGGAACGUGCCCAAUCGUGGGGGAUAACGUAGCGAAAGUUACGCUAAUACCGCAUACGAUCUACGGAUGAAAGCGGGGGAUCGCAAGACCUCGCGCGAAUGGAGCGGCCGAUAUCAGAUUAGGUAGUUGGUGGGGUAAAGGCUCACCAAGCCAACGAUCUGUAGCUGGUCUGAGAGGACGACCAGCCACACUGGAACUGAGACACGGUCCAGACUCCUACGGGAGGCAGCAGUGGGGAAUUUUGGACAAUGGGCGCAAGCCUGAUCCAGCCAUUCCGCGUGCAGGAUGAAGGCCUUCGGGUUGUAAACUGCUUUUGUACGGAACGAAACGGUCUGCCCUAAUACGGCGGGCUAAUGACGGUACCGUAAGAAUAAGCACCGGCUAACUACGUGCCAGCAGCCGCGGUAAUACGUAGGGUGCAAGCGUUAAUCGGAAUUACUGGGCGUAAAGCGUGCGCAGGCGGUUAUAUAAGACAGAUGUGAAAUCCCCGGGCUCAACCUGGGAACUGCAUUUGUGACUGUAUAGCUAGAGUACGGCAGAGGGGGAUGGAAUUCCGCGUGUAGCAGUGAAAUGCGUAGAUAUGCGGAGGAACACCGAUGGCGAAGGCAAUCCCCUGGGCCUGUACUGACGCUCAUGCACGAAAGCGUGGGGAGCAAACAGGAUUAGAUACCCUGGUAGUCCACGCCCUAA
This 800-nucleotide ribosomal RNA is filed under the name uncultured bacterium. RNAcentral's name for it is "bacterial SSU rRNA". It matches the Rfam family "Bacterial small subunit ribosomal RNA", at positions 8 to 805 of the family's 1533-position model. The record is from RNAcentral.